GAGAAGCUUGCUUCUCUGAUGUUAGCGGCGGACGGGUGAGUAACACGUGGAUAACCUACCUAUAAGACUGGGAUAACUUCGGGAAACCGGAGCUAAUACCGGAUAAUAUUUUGAACCGCAUGGUUCAAAAGUGAAAGACGGUCUUGCUGUCACUUAUAGAUGGAUCCGCGCUGCAUUAGCUAGUUGGUAAGGUAACGGCUUACCAAGGCAACGAUGCAUAGCCGACCUGAGAGGGUGAUCGGCCACACUGGAACUGAGACACGGUCCAGACUCCUACGGGAGGCAGCAGUAGGGAAUCUUCCGCAAUGGGCGAAAGCCUGACGGAGCAACGCCGCGUGAGUGAUGAAGGUCUUCGGAUCGUAAAACUCUGUUAUUAGGGAAGAACAUAUGUGUAAGUAACUGUGCACAUCUUGACGGUACCUAAUCAGAAAGCCACGGCUAACUACGUGCCAGCAGCCGCGGUAAUACGUAGGUGGCAAGCGUUAUCCGGAAUUAUUGGGCGUAAAGCGCGCGUAGGCGGUUUUUUAAGUCUGAUGUGAAAGCCCACGGCUCAACCGUGGAGGGUCAUUGGAAACUGGAAAACUUGAGUGCAGAAGAGGAAAGUGGAAUUCCAUGUGUAGCGGUGAAAUGCGCAGAGAUAUGGAGGAACACCAGUGGCGAAGGCGACUUUCUGGUCUGUAACUGACGCUGAUGUGCGAAAGCGUGGGGAUCAAACAGGAUUAGAUACCCUGGUAGUCCACGCCGUAAACGAUGAGUGCUAAGUGUUAGGGGGUUUCCGCCCCUUAGUGCUGCAGCUAACGCAUUAAGCACUCCGCCUGGGGAGUACGACCGCAAGGUUGAAACUCAAAGGAAUUGACGGGGACCCGCACAAGCGGUGGAGCAUGUGGUUUAAUUCGAAGCAACGCGAAGAACCUUACCAAAUCUUGACAUCCUUUGACAACUCUAGAGAUAGAGCCUUCCCCUUCGGGGGACAAAGUGACAGGUGGUGCAUGGUUGUCGUCAGCUCGUGUCGUGAGAUGUUGGGUUAAGUCCCGCAACGAGCGCAACCCUUAAGCUUAGUUGCCAUCAUUAAGUUGGGCACUCUAAGUUGACUGCCGGUGACAAACCGGAGGAAGGUGGGGAUGACGUCAAAUCAUCAUGCCCCUUAUGAUUUGGGCUACACACGUGC
RNAcentral lists this ribosomal RNA (1168 nucleotides) under Staphylococcus aureus. RNAcentral describes it as "bacterial SSU rRNA". It matches the Rfam family "Bacterial small subunit ribosomal RNA", at positions 73 to 1225 of the family's 1533-position model. Lineage: Bacteria; Bacillati; Bacillota; Bacilli; Caryophanales; Staphylococcaceae. The record is from RNAcentral.